GUGCUCGCUUCGGCAGCACAUAUACUGAAAUCGGAACGACACAGAGAUUAACAUGGCCGCUGCGCAAGGAUGACACGCAAAUUGGUGAAGCGUUCCACAAUUUU
Rattus norvegicus (Norway rat) is the source of this 104-nucleotide small nuclear RNA. Lineage: Eukaryota; Metazoa; Chordata; Mammalia; Rodentia; Muridae. The record is from Ensembl.